CCUACGGGAGGCAGCAGUGAGGAAUAUUGGUCAAUGGACGCAAGUCUGAACCAGCCAUGCCGCGUGCAGGAAGACGGCUCUAUGAGUUGUAAACUGCUUUUGUACGAGGGUAAACGCAGAUACGCGUAUCUGUCUGAAAGUAUCGUACGAAUAAGGAUCGGCUAACUCCGUGCCAGCAGCCGCGGUAAUACGGAGGUUGCGAGCGUUAUCCGGAUUUAUUGGGUUUAAAGGGUGCGCUGGCGGGAGAUCAAGUCAGCGGUAAAAUGUCGGGGUUCAACCCCGGCCGGCCGUUGAAACUGGUUUUCUAGAGUUGGAGAGAAGUAUGCGGAAUUCGUGGUGUAGCGGUGAAAUGCAUAGAUAUCACGAAGAACUCCGAUUGCGAAGGCAGCAUACCGGCUCCAUACUGACGCUGAGGCACGAAAGCGUGGGGAUCGAACAGGAUUAGAUACCCCUGUAGUC
Molecule: ribosomal RNA, 459 nt
Filed under: uncultured bacterium
Lineage: Bacteria
Description: partial 16S ribosomal RNA
Rfam family: Bacterial small subunit ribosomal RNA
Source: RNAcentral